RNAcentral lists this long non-coding RNA (507 nucleotides) under Lactuca sativa (garden lettuce). RNAcentral describes it as "long non-coding RNA (LSAT_LNC004400)". Lineage: Eukaryota; Viridiplantae; Streptophyta; Magnoliopsida; Asterales; Asteraceae. The record is from RNAcentral.
AGGAAAGAUCGACUUGAUGUCAAUCUAUAAAACAAUUUGAAGGCAUAAGUUUGAUAAAACAAUAUAAGUAUAAGGAACAUUUGUUUGAAACACAGUUGUAAAUGAGUUUGAAAUAUGAUAAACAGAGUAAGAGGUACAGUGUAAUAAGGAGUUUAAAACAUAUAAAAUGUUUAUAAAAAUCAUUUGAAGGAAACUGUUUGGUAAAACGGCUAAUGAGUAGCCAAAUCUUUUGAAUGUUGUAUAUUAAUCACAUGUGAUUGAUGUAAUAAGUAAUAUACUCCUACUUACUAAUCACAUGCGAUUGACAUAAUAAGUAGCAUGAUUCUACUUGUAUCCCCCCCAUAAAGCAUUUAAAAGUAGUUUAAAACAUUAUUUAAGGGGUAUGAACUCACUUGAAAGCUUGAAGAUAGCGAGAUGGAAAACCGGGCAGAGUUUCGUCUCGGGAAACGGAUUUUUCUCGGGAUUCUCGGGAAUCUCGGGAGUAAAAUCGACCCUCGGGACUUGAGC